This is a long non-coding RNA of Scophthalmus maximus (turbot), 843 nucleotides long. RefSeq lists it as uncharacterized. The record is from RefSeq and is a predicted model, not a curated record. The transcript is spliced from 3 exons. Lineage: Eukaryota; Metazoa; Chordata; Actinopteri; Pleuronectiformes; Scophthalmidae.
GACAGAUCACUGGCGUUACCACCUUUACAUGCUAAAUAUUUGCUACACUUGACUUUGGAAAAGUACAACUAGAUGUUCACUCUCUGCCAACUUCACACGGAGCAGAGCUGCUACAGGCAAUUUAGGGUCAAGAGUCUCUCCCAAGGACAUGCGGCAUGCAGACUGGCAUCAAACUGGCGACUGUCGUGUUGGUGGACACCUGACUCUACCUCCUGAGCCAUAGCCGCCAUCAGUGGUACAGACCCAAUGAUACCAAACCUGGCAACUUCACCAUGUUCUUCCUCCAACAGACAAGUGGAUCAAACCAGUGGGAUGUAGUGUUAAUCAGUCAGAGGUGUGGCAUGUGUAUUGUUUGGCCAACUAGGCUAACUCCGACCCAGCUCAUUUCCCAAAAUGCCACCUGUUCUUCUGAGGCCGUUUCAUGUAACGUCAGUGACAACCUGACUUCAACUCACUGCUGAAGGGACGGGGUUCAAGCCUGAAUGAGUCUCCAGGACGGCUCUCUCCGAACAGAGAAGAGCUAACCAGGCGGGGUGAGAACAUCUCGAUCAGCGUUUUACACAGUGAUGAUGUGGCAUCAGGAGCACACAGGAGUUCAGUGUCUUGCUCAAAGGCACUUCAACAACCCCCCCGGAGAAGCCAGGAAUCAAACCAGGAACAUUGAGAUUACACGACACCCGCUCUACCUCCUGGGCCGUGCCGCCCUGGGGCAGGGCAUGAGGCAGGGCUACUCUGGAGACUGAGAAGGAUCCUGAGCUUAGGGCGCACACUCCAUGAGCAGCAGCCUACUCUCUCAACCCGUAUCCUGUCUCCUUCAUCAUGUCUAUCAAAACAAAGAAUUAU